RNAcentral lists this ribosomal RNA (257 nucleotides) under uncultured bacterium. Its description in RNAcentral is "partial 16S ribosomal RNA". It matches the Rfam family "Bacterial small subunit ribosomal RNA", at positions 524 to 776 of the family's 1533-position model. The record is from RNAcentral.
UACAGGGGGUGCAAACGUUGCUCGGAAUCAUUGGGCGUAAAGCGCACGUAGGCGGUUCGUUAUGUCGGAUGUGAAAGCCCUUGGCUUAACCGAGGAAGUGCAUCCGAAACUGGCGAGCUAGAGUACGAAAAGAGGAUCGCGGAAUUCCCCGGUGUAGAGGUGAAAUUUCGUAGAUAUCGGGAGGAACACCGGUGGCGAAGGCGGCGAUCUGGGUCGAUACUGACGCUGAGGUGCGAAAGCGUGGGGGAGCAAACAGG